GUGUGUGUGUGUGUGUGUGUGUUUACCUAUAGAUAUGAAACGUGUGCUGUGAGGUUGUGGUGAAUAUUUGUAUUUCUUUGUGAAUGCUGUUGGUGUUUGCUGGCUAUACUUCCCUGGGGGGGAUGUACCAUAUGUGUGGACUAUAAUUUACUGUGGCUAUUUACCUGUUGGUUUUUGAAUGCCAAAUCCCUGGGGUUACUACUUGUAUUUAUGAAAUUAAAGUACAUUUAUCCUGCAGUUCUACACAUUUGCCAUGGGAUGGAAAAAAAUUAUCCUUCGAACUCCUCUAACCUAGUAUAUUAUUGUCUCUCUAAUCAAAAUACAGAGUGGGGCUCCCAGAAUCUUACCUAGUGUACAGACCAGUAAAUUCUACAGGUAGGAUAUAAGCCUACUGGCGGCUUGACUAUAUGCACUCUGCAAUCCCCUUCCCCCAGGAAUAGACAAACAAGUGAACAGGAAUGGGUUAGACAGACAAAACAACAAAGAGGUCAAACAAAAAUAAACACAGUGGGGUGGCAGUAACACUGUGACAACAUUUAUUACAUACCCACACAUGAACGACUCUCUCUACUAAAGUACUAAGUGUAUAAAUGUCUGAAUGUCAAAGUGUUUGUAAGUGGAUCCCUAAAUGAAUCCAAAGUGUACUUAUGUGUCUGCAAAGCCCAAGAGAGAGGCUAAGAUGAAAGACAACAGUUGGUUUUUAAAAUAUGGGAGUGUGGUGAGAUUGGCCAUUAACAACAACAGGUUUCAUGUAAUUAUGGUGCCUGGUCACUGAUUGGACCACAUGGGUGCAGAAACAAACGUUUAAUGAUGAUGGACAAGUGAAGGAACAAAUCACAAGGGACGAAUAGGAAUAAGGAACACCUGGAUAUGGACUGACAGAGAGAGAAGAAUCAAAGGGCAAACAAAUACAAACACAGGGACGAUUCCAGGGGACAUAACAAGUAUUUUGCUGUCACAGUCCAGACAUACAGUAGACCACAAAAGAUAUAGUCCACAACAAGUGUUUUCUUCUCUAAACUUAAAAAGGACUAAUCUAACUGAAGGUUCUAACUUCAAUGUGAUGGAAGUACACCCCUUAAUAACUAUAAAUAAAAUAGCCAAAACCAAGCC
Long non-coding RNA from Esox lucius (northern pike), 1113 nucleotides. NCBI's taxonomy places the organism in Eukaryota, Metazoa, Chordata, Actinopteri, Esociformes, Esocidae. The record is from Ensembl.